RNAcentral lists this ribosomal RNA (422 nucleotides) under uncultured soil bacterium. RNAcentral's name for it is "bacterial SSU rRNA". It matches the Rfam family "Bacterial small subunit ribosomal RNA", at positions 26 to 445 of the family's 1533-position model. The record is from RNAcentral.
AGAUUGAACGCUGGCGGCAUGCCUUACACAUGCAAGUCGAACGGCAGCACGGGAGCAAUCCUGGUGGCGAGUGGCGAACGGGUGAGUAAUACGUCGGAACGUGCCCAAUCGUGGGGGAUAACGCAGCGAAAGCUGUGCUAAUACCGCAUAAGAUCUACGGAUGAAAGCAGGGGAUCGCAAGACCUUGCGCGAAUGGAGCGGCCGAUGGCAGAUUAGGUAGUUGGUGAGGUAAAGGCUCACCAAGCCUUCGAUCUGUAGCUGGUCUGAGAGGACGACCAGCCACACUGGGACUGAGACACGGCCCAGACUCCUACGGGAGGCAGCGAGUGGGGAAUAGUUGGACAAGUGGGCGAAAGCCUGACUCCAGCAAUGCCGCGUGAGUGAGUGAAGGUCGUUAGGUUAGUAAACGCUUCGUUUACCGG